CACGUAGGGCGCAAGCGUUGUCCGGAAUUAUUGGGCGUAAAGCGCUCGUAGGCGGUCUGUUGCGUCCGCUUUGAAAACUCGGGGCUUAACCCCGAGCCUGCAGUGGAUACGGGCAGACUAGAGGUAGGUAGGGGAGAAUGGAAUUCCCGGUGUAGCGGUGAAAUGCGCAGAUAUCGGGAGGAACACCGGUGGCGAAGGCGGGUCUCUGGGCCGUACCUGACGCUGAGGAGCGAAAGCGUGGGGAGCGAACAGG
This 253-nucleotide ribosomal RNA is filed under the name uncultured bacterium. Its description in RNAcentral is "partial 16S ribosomal RNA". It matches the Rfam family "Bacterial small subunit ribosomal RNA", at positions 524 to 776 of the family's 1533-position model. The record is from RNAcentral.